This 250-nucleotide unclassified non-coding RNA is filed under the name plant metagenome. RNAcentral describes it as "partial contains small subunit ribosomal RNA, internal transcribed spacer 1, and 5.8S ribosomal RNA". The record is from RNAcentral.
GUAGGUGAACCUGCGGAAGGAUCAUUAACACUUCUAAAAAACAAAAACUUUAAACUUAAAUACGGGAACCUCAUCGUGCUCGACAUGAAGAGGGAGCAGGCACGAACGUGUCAGCUUGAACACAAAUAUCUUAAACAUAAGAUCAAUGACUUGUCAUGAGUCGGAGAUCGAACUUUCAAUCUUAACCCCAAAACUUUUAACCCCCAUAACCCAAACCAAAACCCAUAACUAAUUGACUAAUCAUAACCAU